GGGAAACUGCCUGAUGGAGGGGGAUAACUACUGGAAACGGUAGCUAAUACCGCAUAACGUCGCAAGACCAAAGAGGGGGACCUUCGGGCCUCUUGCCAUCAGAUGUGCCCAGAUGGGAUUAGCUAGUAGGUGGGGUAACGGCUCACCUAGGCGACGAUCCCUAGCUGGUCUGAGAGGAUGACCAGCCACACUGGAACUGAGACACGGUCCAGACUCCUACGGGAGGCAGCAGUGGGGAAUAUUGCACAAUGGGCGCAAGCCUGAUGCAGCCAUGCCGCGUGUAUGAAGAAGGCCUUCGGGUUGUAAAGUACUUUCAGCGGGGAGGAAGGCGAUAAGGUUAAUAACCUUGUCGAUUGACGUUACCCGCAGAAGAAGCACCGGCUAACUCCGUGCCAGCAGCCGCGGUAAUACGGAGGGUGCAAGCGUUAAUCGGAAUUACUGGGCGUAAAGCGCACGCAGGCGGUCUGUCAAGUCGGAUGUGAAAUCCCCGGGCUCAACCUGGGAACUGCAUUCGAAACUGGCAGGCUGGAGUCUUGUAGAGGGGGGUAGAAUUCCAGGU
This 559-nucleotide ribosomal RNA is filed under the name uncultured bacterium. Its description in RNAcentral is "bacterial SSU rRNA". It matches the Rfam family "Bacterial small subunit ribosomal RNA", at positions 120 to 674 of the family's 1533-position model. The record is from RNAcentral.